Molecule: unclassified non-coding RNA, 307 nt
Filed under: plant metagenome
Description: partial contains 5.8S ribosomal RNA, internal transcribed spacer 2, and large subunit ribosomal RNA
Rfam family: 5.8S ribosomal RNA (bases 1-105)
Source: RNAcentral
GAAAUGCGAUAAGUAAUGUGAAUUGCAGAAUUCAGUGAAUCAUCGAAUCUUUGAACGCACAUUGCGCCCGCCAGCACUCUGGCGGGCAUGCCUGUUCGAGCGUCAUUUCAACCCUCAGAACCCCUUGCGGGAUCUGGCGUUGGGGAUUGGCAUCCAGCCAGCCCCGAAAUCUAGUGGCGGUCCCUCCGCGACCUCCCCUGUGCAGUAGCGAUACCUCGCAGCGGGACAGCGGUCUGACCACGCCGUAAAACCCCCAACUUCUCAAGGUUGACCUCGAAUCAGGAAGGAAUACCCGGUGAACAUGAGC